Molecule: non-coding RNA, 30 nt
Filed under: Rattus norvegicus (Norway rat)
Lineage: Eukaryota; Metazoa; Chordata; Mammalia; Rodentia; Muridae
Source: RNAcentral
UUUUCAUGAUUGAGAGUGCACGAAUGUGUC